Molecule: long non-coding RNA, 1013 nt
Organism: Bufo bufo (common toad)
Lineage: Eukaryota; Metazoa; Chordata; Amphibia; Anura; Bufonidae
Exons: 2
Source: RefSeq, a predicted model, not a curated record
AGCAAAAUGGGCCAGUACAGAGUUGAACGCGGCGUCCAUUCCUGUAAAAGUGCUAUAGCCAACCUGGAAGGUCGGAGACAAUUUUGGCAUUAAAAAAAUAAAUAAAAAUAAAUAAAAUAAAUUUAAAAAUUUUAGAGCAUUUAGAAUUGUUUAAAAGAAAGUUGCAUAAAAGUGUAGUUACUCUUUAACUCCGAACUCCCUACAGGCAUAUUUAUAAAUGAGCUCAUAAAACAGAGAAUCCAUUUAAGGGCGGGUUCGCACUGGCGUUAAGAUAUUUCGUUACAGGUUCCGUUAUAACGGACUAUAGCAGAAUUUAUAAGAUGGAAAUCAAAACGGAAACCUUUAGAGGCAUUCCGUUUUGAUCCGUCAUAAUACAGGUCCUAUGGUUGACAGGACUUUGUUUUCCGUCCUGCAUAACGGAAAGCAGACAGAUCCGUUAUGCUUGCCCAUAGACUUCUAUUAACGGAACCUAUAGCAGAAUAUCCUAACGCCGGCGCGCACUCGCCCUAACUAAAUGCCCAGGCUCUCAUUAGCAGGUAAAAUAAAGGCUAUGUUUGCAUGGUGGUAGGAAAUACCUCUGAUCACUGUUUAACGUGUACACAGCUCAAUUUUCAUAUUGAUGGGGGUCUGACACCUGGCACCUCUGCCAAUCAGUUGUUUGAAGAGGCUGUAGCGCUCACUGGAGCUCUGGUAAGUGCCAUGGUCUCCAUUGGAUAGCACCUGUGCUCGGUAUCCCAUCUUCACCCAAUUCUCUUGAAUGGGACUAUGCUGCGCCUAGGCCACGUGACUGAUGAACGUGAGGUCACAUAGCCUAGGAAGAGCAUAAGUUCUCAUUGAAGCGACCUCUUCAUACAGCUAAUCAGCGGUGGGGUGGGGGGAACUCCAUCAAACUCAUACUGGAGACCUAUCCUAAGGAUAGGCCAUCAAUAUGGAAAUCCUGUUAAACUGCGCUCACUUUUUUUGUCUGUGUGAUAUCCGUAAACUUUCCUUUGCAAAAAAUGAUUGCAUUAGAA